UGGGGAAUAUUGCACAAUGGGGGAAACCCUGAUGCAGCGACGCCGCGUGAACGAAGAAGGUAUUCGUAUCGUAAAGUUCUGUCCUAUGGGAAGAUAAUGACAGUACCAUAGAAGAAAGCUCCGGCUAAAUACGUGCCGGCAGCCGCGGUAAUACGUAUGGAGCGAGCGUUGUCCGGAAUUAUUGGGCGUAAAGGGUACGCAGGCGGUUUAAUAAGUCGAAUGUUAAAGAUCGGGGCUCAACCCCGUAAAGCAUUGGAAACUGAUAAACUUGAGUAGUGGAGAGGAAAGUGGAAUUCCUAGUGUAGUGGUGAAAUACGUAGAUAUUAGGAGGAAUACCAGUAGCGAAGGCGACUUUCUGGACACAAACUGACGCUGAGGUACGAAAGCGUGGGGAGCAAACAGG
RNAcentral lists this ribosomal RNA (403 nucleotides) under bacterium. RNAcentral describes it as "partial 16S ribosomal RNA". It matches the Rfam family "Bacterial small subunit ribosomal RNA", at positions 355 to 776 of the family's 1533-position model. RNAcentral also lists the same sequence under 1 other name. The record is from RNAcentral.